UCCUACGGGGGGCAGCAGUGGGGAAUAUUGCACAAUGGGGGAAACCCUGAUGCAGCGACGCCGCGUGAGUGAGGAAGUAUUUCGGUAUGUAAAGCUCUGUCAGCAGGGAAGAAAGCAAUGACGGUACCUGACCAAGAAGCCCCGGCUAACUACGUGCCAGCAGCCGCGGUAAUACGUAGGGGGCAAGCGUUAUCCGGAAUUACUGGGUGUAAAGGGAGCGUAGACGGCUGUGCAAGUCUGGAGUGAAAGGCGGGGGCCCAGCCCCCGGACUGCUCUGG
Molecule: ribosomal RNA, 278 nt
Filed under: uncultured bacterium
Lineage: Bacteria
Description: partial 16S ribosomal RNA
Rfam family: Bacterial small subunit ribosomal RNA
Source: RNAcentral